UACGUAGGGUGCAAGCGUUGUCCGGAUUAUUGGGCGUAAAGAGCUCGUAGGCGGUUUGUCGCGUCUGCUGUGAAAACCCGAGGCUCAACCUCGGGCCUGCAGUGGGUACGGGCAGACUAGAGUGCGGUAGGGGAGAUUGGAAUUCCUGGUGUAGCGGUGGAAUGCGCAGAUAUCAGGAGGAACACCUAUUGCGAAGGCAGCUCGCUGGGACGUAACUGACGCUGAGACGCGAAAGCGUGGGGAGCAAACAGG
This 252-nucleotide ribosomal RNA is filed under the name uncultured bacterium. RNAcentral describes it as "partial 16S ribosomal RNA". It matches the Rfam family "Bacterial small subunit ribosomal RNA", at positions 524 to 776 of the family's 1533-position model. The record is from RNAcentral.